RNAcentral lists this long non-coding RNA (1797 nucleotides) under Helianthus annuus (common sunflower). RNAcentral's name for it is "hypothetical non coding rna". Lineage: Eukaryota; Viridiplantae; Streptophyta; Magnoliopsida; Asterales; Asteraceae. The record is from RNAcentral.
GAUGACAACUAUUAAAAUUUAAAUAUUAUUACAUCAAAAUUAAAAGAUAUCACAUAAUCCAAAUAAUACAUACAACUUCAACACAAAAUCCAAAGUCACAAAAUAUAAAUAAAUCUCGUUUAAUCACUAAGGCACGUCCUAUGUGUUCUCGUCCUCAUCACAUCAAACUUGUUCACCUGUAUCAUGUGUAAAAUAGUUUUGGGUCAACAUAAAUUGGUGAGUAAAUCUAAUAUUUAAAUAAAACAAUUUUUUUAUUUAUUGUUAAAAGGUUUAACAUGGAAUUCAAUAGUAAAUAAGUGAUCAAACAACACCAAUAAUAAACAAAAAACAAACCAACCAAUGUGAUAAUGUGAUGAUACGAAACAUUGAUAAAUGCGAGACUCAAGCCUACCGACGAGCGAAUCUUAUGUUGUGGACCCAUGGUAAUGGAGAACCGAUCAGCCUAUGAAUCCAUGUGCGUGAAUGAUUAGCGACACAAAACAUUAAACGGUUAGUCAAAGAAGCAUAACUACCACAUAAUUACACACUGAGUUUUUGCAUGUAUUUGAAAAAUGAAAUAACUUGAAAUAAGGGAUACAAUGAGAUAUGUGACACAUGACACACCCCAAAACAUUUAAAUUGUAAAAAGGGGAAUUAGAAAGAUCUACUCACAGGUUGCGUAUUUUGGUUCCUUGCAAUAGCGUACGAAAAAUGAAAAAACUCCAAAUGCUACCCUAAAAAUAUAAAAUACAAAAGUCCUAAAACCACAAAUAACACACAACAAAACUGCAACCUACAAUUUAGGAACUUCUAUGAAACCUAAAAUAUAUUUAUUAAUUUCAUCACGAAUAGUUAUUUAAUUGAACCGAUUAGUUUUAUUCGCAAAGUACGUGCCUUGUUUCACCAUAGUUUCCUAGAUCUUGAAACAUCCGGAUGAGAUCAAUGAUCUUUAUCUCUUGAAAGGUUAGGAGCUUUCUCGUCUAUAUACUUUUACGAAUAAUUAAAUUGAUUCUUUUAUAAAAAUAAUUAUUAAAGAGAUUUGAAAUUUUAUUAUAAAAAUAGAUCCACAACUUAAUAUUUUAUAAAAAAAUUAGAUUAAUAUUUAGAGACUUUUAUUUUCAUGAUUUCUAUAUUUUUUUAUAUACUAUAACAUGAUUAAAUUAUGAAAUAAUUUCAAAGAUGACAAAAUUUUUUUAAAAAUUACAAGAUCUAAUUUAAUAUGAUUAUGAAUAGUAAACAAGUUUCAAUUUCAACAAAACAUUAAUUUAAGAACAAAAGCCCCAAAAUUCUAUAUUUAAGAACACUAAAAUACAAGAAAUUUUAUUCGAAUUUUUUAUACCCUCUAUCAGAUAAAUUAAUAGAGGGGUUUUACAUAUCUUGAGAAACUAAAUCGAAUAGACAUAAAAACUAACUCCUUUGAUGAAGAAUUGAAGAAGAUAUGAGAAGAUGAAGUUCCAAGCCCUAGGUUGUGUUCUUCCUUGAAUUUGCAAUUUAAAGAGAGAGCUGGUAUGAUUUGGAGGUGGGUAUUGUUUGUAAUAGAUGGAGAAAUCUUUCAGGAUGAGUUAGGGGGGUUGAUAAGGUGGACGAAUUUUGGUAAUAAAGUUUAUAAAAUUUUAUAAGUUUUAAUGGGGAUUUCAUUUCUAAAAAAUUAGGGAAUUAUAAAAUGUAUUUGGACAUUAUAAGGUGUGUAUUAGUGUUUAGGCUCAUUUGAAGUAAAUUUAGAUACCAAACAUAGUGUAAAAACAGAUGGAUCUUUUCUUGUAGAACAAGGGUAUCGCGAUACAGAAGAAAUGGAAACUUUCAGGUUCCGUCGUUUAG